UCCCUGGCGGUCCAGGGGUUAGGACUCAGUGCUCUCACUGCUAUGGCCCAGGUUCAAUCCCUGGUUGGGGAA
RNAcentral lists this transfer RNA (72 nucleotides) under Ovis aries (sheep). It matches the Rfam family "tRNA". Rfam says of the family: Transfer RNA (tRNA) molecules are approximately 80 nucleotides in length. Their secondary structure includes four short double-helical elements and three loops (D, anti-codon, and T loops). The record is from Rfam by way of RNAcentral. Lineage: Eukaryota; Metazoa; Chordata; Mammalia; Artiodactyla; Bovidae.